RNAcentral lists this ribosomal RNA (245 nucleotides) under uncultured bacterium. Its description in RNAcentral is "partial 16S ribosomal RNA". It matches the Rfam family "Bacterial small subunit ribosomal RNA", at positions 524 to 768 of the family's 1533-position model. The record is from RNAcentral.
UACAGAGGGUGCAAGCGUUAAUCGGAAUUACUGGGCGUAAAGGGUGUGUAGGUGGCAAGAUAAGUUAGGUGUGAAAUCCUCUGGCUCAACCAGAGAACUGCGCUUAAUACUGUCUAGCUAGAGUAUUGUAGAGGGCAGUGGAAUUUCCAGUGUAGCGGUGAAAUGCGUAGAUAUUGGAAGGAACACCAGUGGCGAAGGCGACUGCCUGGACAAAUACUGACACUGAUACACGAAAGCGUGGGUAG